UUUUUGUUCUUUCUUUCCAGUUACUGGACCAUUCUCUGAAUUGCAAAUAGCUUAUGUAUGCAGAGAGACGUUGCAGGGUCUUGCCUAUUUGCAUACUAAAGGCAAAAUGCAUAGAGAUAUCAAAGGUGCAAAUAUCUUAUUAACAGACCAUGGUGAUGUAAAAUUAGCUGAUUUCGGUGUGGCUGCAAAAAUAACCGCGACCGUUGUGAAGAGAAAGUCUUUCAUCGGCACCCCUUACUGGUCAUCGACAUUCCAUAAUUUUGUCAAAAUAGCGCUAAGAACCCUAAGAAAAGACCAACUGCUGAAAGGCUUCUGACCCCCCAUGCAGUCAUUCGUCACACCAUUAGAUCUACGAACAGGAAUUCCAGAGCCGAGCGCACAGCUUCGGAAAUCAACUUUGACAAGUUACAGUUUGAACCACCUCUGAGGAAAGAAACAGAAGCCUGGGACGAAAUGCCCAAGACAUGAGGAGCUGAGUCUUCCCAGCUAACUUGGAUGCUGCAACCUAACUCUGAAAAAUCAGCCUAUGUUCUGUACUGCUGGGCCACAUCUUCAGCCCCUCUCCCACAAUUCCACUGACAAGCAUGGGCUGUCUGUCAGUUGGUGGCUAUUAGGGGAGGCUCAAGAGGAGUGGCCUUCCUGGAAGCAGGAUGUCACUGAGGGUAAGUUUUGAGCUUUCAAAGGCUAUUUUCAGCUCUCUCCACUUGCUGUUUUGUGGUCCCAGAUGUGCGCUCUCUCAGCUCUCUGCUCCAACCUCUCUGCCUGCUACCUCUGAUUUGCCAACAUGGAUUCUAACCCUCUGGAACCAUAAGCCUAAAGUAAACUCUUUGUUUUCCGAGUUGCCUUGGUCAUGAUGCUUUACCACAGCCAUAGAUAACUAGUGCAGAUCCCUUCCCUGUUUACAUUGUUUUGGAGACGAGAUCUGAGACCGUGUUGGUACAAGUUACUCCUGGCACACUCCAGGAUGGCUUCUGGGCUGUUUGCUAUUUGUGUGAAGUGUUUUCCAUUCCUCAUGCUAGUGUCUUAGAUUUAGCAUCACCUCUAGUUCCCUUUCUGUUGCUGAGAUAAAACACCCUGGCCAAAAGCAACUCGGGGGAGGAAAGGGUUACAGCCCAUCAUCACAUCCGCAGUCAAGAGCAGUGAGAGAAUAAAUACAUGGUCUUUGCUUGCUUACUUGCUCUCUGUUGGCUUUCUCCUCUCUUAUAUGUCUGGGUCUCCCUACCUAGAAAAUGGCAACUGCUCAGACCAUGAGACUCCAUGUCUCUGUAGUCUGAAUGGUGAAGGCCUGGGGGAUUCCUAGAAAGCCACAUUAGAAGGUUGAAGAAGCUGACAUCAGUGAAGGGUGGCUGCUGCCACAGUGGCCCGGCACAGAUGUGCUUGCUAGCAAGGCGUGAAGGAAGGCAAGCAGUGAUGCUUUCCCAUUGGAAUUCUCUAUAUCCGGGCUGCUGUAGAAGGGGAAGCCCACUCUGGGGAAGCAUCUGCCAAGCAGGAUGUCUCUUAGUUGAUCCCAGAUUCAAUCAAGUUGAUAUCAAUGAACUCCAUACUGGAGAACAACCAGACUCCACUGCUUAUGGGUAGAGACGGCUCAAUACAGAGAGUGCUCUGUCUUUCCUUCUUGCCUGCAAGGACUGGAGGCUGUUAAACUAAGAGACCAGCACUGGGGACAUGGCUCGGUUGGUAAAAUGCUUGCCCAGCAUGCCCAAAGCCCUGGGUACCAUUCCCAGCACUACACAAACUAGCUGUGGCGGUGCACACCUCUAAUCCUAGCGCUUGAGAGAUAGAGGCGGGAAGGUCGAACAUUCAAGGUCAACUCUGGCCACCCUGAGUGGCAGGAGACCCUGAAUCAAAAUUAAUAUAAAAAUUAAAAAUGAAGUCAAACAGGACCAAAGAAGUGAGAGUGCAGAGCAGCUAGGCAUGAGCUCCGUGGGCUCUCAUCUUCAGGAUGGAGGGUAAUGGGCUGAGAUGGAGCAGCUGCAAGACUCCCAGGCUGAGCAUGCAAGAAGAAGUCCUGAGAGGCCCUCAUUCUUUGGAUCACCACCCAAUCAAUGAGAUGGCUUCCGCCAACAGCUCAUGAGCCUGUCAAUGAAUGGCCAUUCGUAUCCCUCCUGCGUCCCUCAGCAGUGGAUUUAUGGAGCCAUAGCAAAAAUAAGACCGUGUGAUCCAUGAAUCCCUGAACAUUCUCCUCAGGAGGCAGGGAUGUAUAUCGUAAGAAAACUUUAUUUUCUUCUGAAAAUUGCCAGUGUGAUUCAUGCGGCCUGACACAGCCCA
Molecule: long non-coding RNA, 2268 nt
Organism: Alexandromys fortis (reed vole)
Lineage: Eukaryota; Metazoa; Chordata; Mammalia; Rodentia; Cricetidae
Exons: 9
Source: RefSeq, a predicted model, not a curated record